AGUGAACGCUGGCGGUAGGCCUAACACAUGCAAGUCGAACGGCAGCACAGUAAGUGCUUGCUCUUACGGGUGGCGAGUGGCGGACGGGUGAGGAAUACAUCGGAAUCUACUUUUUCGUGGGGGAUAACGUAGGGAAACUUACGCUAAUACCGCAUACGACCUACGGGUGAAAGCAGGGGAUCUUCGGACCUUGCGCGAUUGAAUGAGCCGAUGUCGGAUUAGCUAGUUGGCGGGGUAAAGGCCCACCAAGGCGACGGUCCGUAGCUGGUCGGAGAGGAUGGGCAGCCACCCUGGGACUGAGACACGCUCCAGACUCCUACGGGAGGCAGCAGUGGGGCAUAUUGGACCAGGGGCGCAAGCCUGUGCCAGCCAUACCGAGUGGGUGAAGAAGGACUUCGGGUUGUAAAGCCCUUUUGUUGGGAUAGAAAAGCAGUAGGUUAAUACCCCGCUGUUCUGACGGUAACCAAAGAAUAAGCACCGGCUAAAUUCCUGC
RNAcentral lists this ribosomal RNA (493 nucleotides) under uncultured bacterium. RNAcentral's name for it is "partial 16S ribosomal RNA". It matches the Rfam family "Bacterial small subunit ribosomal RNA", at positions 29 to 508 of the family's 1533-position model. The record is from RNAcentral.